This 157-nucleotide ribosomal RNA is filed under the name Bacillus safensis. RNAcentral describes it as "partial 16S ribosomal RNA". It matches the Rfam family "Bacterial small subunit ribosomal RNA", at positions 50 to 203 of the family's 1533-position model. Lineage: Bacteria; Bacillati; Bacillota; Bacilli; Caryophanales; Bacillaceae. The record is from RNAcentral.
CUAUACAUGCAGUCGAGCGGACAGAAGGGAGCUUGCUCCCGGAUGUUAGCGGCGGACGGGUGAGUAACACGUGGGUAACCUGCCUGUAAGACUGGGAUAACUCCGGGAAACCGGAGCUAAUACCGGAUAGUUCCUUGAACCGCAUGGUUCAAGGAUA